AUAGUGUUUAUUAGAUACAGAACCAAUACACCAUUCUUUACGGAUGGUGUAAAAAAGGUGAUUCAUAGUAACCGAACGGAUCGCAUUAUAGUCAUUUUCUAUGGCUGGCGAUAGAUCAUUCAAGUUUCCGACCUAUCAGCUUUCGACGGUAGUGUAUUGGACUACCGUGGCAGUGACGGGUAACGGGGAAUUAGGGUUCGAUUCCGGAGAGGGAGCCUGAGAAACGGCUACCACAUCUAAGGAAGGCAGCAGGCGCGCAAAUUACCCAAUCCUGACUCAGGGAGGUAGUGACAAGAAAUAACAACACUGGAAAUUUUAUUUCUAGUGAUUGGAAUGGUGGGAAUUUAAACCCCUUUCAGAGUAACAAUUGGAGGGCAAGUCUGGUGCCAGCAGCCGCGGUAAUUCCAGCUCCAAUAGCGUAUAUUAAAGUUGUUGCAGUUAAAAAGCUCGUAGUUGGAUGUCUGCUGGAAGCAAUCAGUCCGCCCUAUUUGUAGGGUGUGCACUUGAUCAAUUCUGGCAUCUAUGUCCCGAUAAAGAAACGGGCGUUUAGCUGUUGGGCGAAAGCUCGACAGCUCGCGUCCGUUUAUUGGGAUAAUACUGUUACUUUGAGAAAAUUAGAGUGUUUGAAGCAGGCUAAUUGCCUUGAAUACUGCAGCAUGGAAUAACAAUAUAGGAUUUCGGUUCUAUUUUGUUGGUUUCUAGGACUGAAAUAAUGAUUAAUAGGGACAGUUGGGGGCAUUCGUAUUUAACUGUCAGAGGUGAAAUUCUUAGAUUUGUUAAAGACGAACUACUGCGAAAGCAUUUGCC
RNAcentral lists this ribosomal RNA (807 nucleotides) under Sarcocystis linearis. RNAcentral's name for it is "SSU rRNA". It matches the Rfam family "Eukaryotic small subunit ribosomal RNA", at positions 200 to 959 of the family's 1831-position model. The record is from RNAcentral. Lineage: Eukaryota; Apicomplexa; Conoidasida; Eucoccidiorida; Sarcocystidae.